UAACGUAAAUACCACAAUUAUUUAUCAUAUUUGUAGUCACACCGCUAUUUAUAUUUUUAUAUUUAUUGAUACAAUUUGUAUUUGUAUUUUAAAGUUCACACUUGUAUUUAUAUUUUGUAGUUCGUAUUUGUAUUUGUAUUUAACAGUUCACACUUGUAUUUGUAUUUGUUAGUUUGCGCCAUCAUUUAUAUUUUAUAUAAUUCACACUUUUAUUAUAAAGAACUAUUUUGUAUUUGUAUUUUAUAAUUGAUUGCAUAUUGUAUUGGAUUAUAUUUAUAUUAUGAUUUUAUUGUGUUUGUAUAUUUGGAUUAUACUGGUAUUUGUAUUCUAUUUUCUUCAUUACCUUUUUAUUUUUAAAAUAUUAUUUUGUAUUUGUAUUUGUAAGUUGAUUACAUAUUAUAUUUAGUCGUGACUAAGUACAAUUUAUCAUUUGUAUUUGUAUACAAACAAGUAAGUUCAUUAAUUGUAUUUUUGUUAUUCUA
This 482-nucleotide long non-coding RNA is filed under the name Capsicum annuum. RNAcentral describes it as "long non-coding RNA (CANN_LNC017057)". The record is from RNAcentral. Lineage: Eukaryota; Viridiplantae; Streptophyta; Magnoliopsida; Solanales; Solanaceae.